CAGUCGCCACGGUAAUACGAAGGGGGCUAGCGUUGCUCGGAAUGACUGGGCGUAAAGGGCGCGUAGGCGGAUUUAUCAGUCAGAUGUGAAAUUCCUGGGCUUAACCUGGGGGCUGCAUUUGAUACGGUAAGUCUUGAGUGAGGAAGAGGGUUGUGGAAUUCCCAGUGUAGAGGUGAAAUUCGUAGAUAUUGGGAAGAACACCGGUGGCGAAGGCGGCAACCUGGUCCUUUACUGACGCUGAGGCGCGAAAGCGUGGGGAGCAAACAGGAUUAGAUACCCCCGUAGUCCCUGUCUCUUAUAC
This 301-nucleotide ribosomal RNA is filed under the name uncultured bacterium. RNAcentral's name for it is "partial 16S ribosomal RNA". It matches the Rfam family "Bacterial small subunit ribosomal RNA", at positions 509 to 807 of the family's 1533-position model. The record is from RNAcentral.